This 499-nucleotide ribosomal RNA is filed under the name uncultured bacterium. Its description in RNAcentral is "partial 16S ribosomal RNA". It matches the Rfam family "Bacterial small subunit ribosomal RNA", at positions 28 to 507 of the family's 1533-position model. The record is from RNAcentral.
GACGAACGCUGGCGGCGUGCCUAAUACAUGCAAGUCGAGCGAAGUUUUUCUGGUGCUUGCACCGGAAAAACUUAGCGGCGAACGGGUGAGUAACACGUAAAGAACCUGCCUCAUAGACUGGGACAACUAUUGGAAACGAUAGCUAAUACCGGAUAAUAGCAUUAACUGCAUGGUUGAUGUUUAAAAGUUGGUUUUGCUAACACUAUGAGAUGGCUUUGCGGUGCAUUAGCUAGUUGGUGGGGUAAAGGCCUACCAAGGCGACGAUGCAUAGCCGACCUGAGAGGGUGAUCGGCCACACUGGGACUGAGACACGGCCCAGACUCCUACGGGAGGCAGCAGUAGGGAAUCUUCCGCAAUGGGCGAAAGCAUGACGGAGCAACGCCGCGUGAGUGAAGAAGGAUUUCGGUUCGUAAAGCUCUGUUGUUAGGGAAGAAUGAUUGUGUAGUAACUAUACACAGUAGAGACGGUACCUAACCAGAAAGCCACGGCUAACUACGUG